Molecule: long non-coding RNA, 2158 nt
Filed under: Equus caballus (horse)
Lineage: Eukaryota; Metazoa; Chordata; Mammalia; Perissodactyla; Equidae
Description: lncRNA (ENSECAG00000036201.3)
Source: RNAcentral
UCGGGAGCCCUCACUGGGGCCAGGCACAAGCCCAUUUGGUGGAGGAGGACCCAAGCUGGAGCGGGAACCAGCUUCCCGACGCCCCUCGGGGAGCCCAGGCCUUGCCAGCCCUGGGACCCACCCCGGUGUCUGUCCCCUCUGCAGGGAGGACACCCCGUGGGUUUUCUCACAUCCUAGGCAGACACGGGUCUGGGAGGGUCCCGCCAGCUGCCCCUGGGAGAGGGGAAGGCCCCAGGGCAGGCGGCCGGCCGUUGGGGUGGUCAGACAUACCGGGUGGGGCUGGAGCUGGCUGAGUGCCAGGGGGCAUCCAAACGGUUGGGGAACUCCAGGUGAUGGGGAGCCCCCUGGGUUACUGAGCAGGCGCAGUGGGCUCUCAGGAGAGUAGCCCGCUGGGGGCCGGCCAGGGACGAGGGGCUCUCCGUCCGCCAUGCUCCCCUCCUCCCUCCCGUCUCCCCCCGGGGCUCCCCCUCCCCUGGGGCUCCUCCCCCUUCCCCUCCUCUCUCCUCUCCUCUCCCGAGGGGCUCCCCUCCUCCUCCCCUUCCCCGCAGCUACCCCCUCCCCUCCUUCUCCCCUCCCCCCCAGGCUCCCCCUCCCUGGGCCCCUCGGGCGCAUGUUCCCAUCAUCUCCGUGUGGCGGGGAGCUCAGCUUCGCAGGGUCCUACCAGGUCCUAGGACUGCUUCUCUCAGACGGGAAACUGAGGCACAGAGUCUCGCAGCUGGUGGAGCUGGGGUUCAAGUCCAGGCAGAGCCUUUGGGCUUAUGAGGGAGACUACCCCACAGACGGCGGGCAGCUCCCCAAGGCCCCAGGAGGAGGAGCUGUGCCCAGAGCAGAGAGAAAGAACUGCUGCGCAAAGGCCCUGAGGCUGAGUCCGGCCGGCCUUCUCAUCCAAACAUCCAGGGGAUGCCACCGCGGCAGAAAAAUGAUGCUGUUCCAUUAACAUCUGACACGGAUUUGCAGGCCCCAAACAGACGGGCGCGCGUGUAAACACCGGCCUGGCUGGGCCCCCGCCCGCCCGGCUCAAAGCGGGAUCCUGGUAAUUAAUUGUCCGCCCGCUGGCCCCCCGCCCCGCCACCCCGGCCAGUGUGGUUUUGAGAUUGCAGCCCUUCAGGCCCCCCGCAAACUGCAUUUCCCAAACAACGGAUGUGCCCUAGCUGCCGGAAGGAGCAGAGGGAAGCGCCCGGCUAGCGGGCGGGGCCCAGCUCCCCCCAGGAGCCCGGGGGGUCAGGUGCCGAGAGGGCGCAGCCCCGGGCCCAGGGGCCUCCAGCCCACUGAGCGCCUGGCACGGCCAGCCGCGGUUUCUCAUUCCACUCGUUUCGGCUGACUUUGUGAGGGUGUAAGCCACCUCGACAUUGUUACAACAUGUGUCUUUUUACCUUGAAGAGAGAGGAUGCUAGAAUGCUAUUCUAGAACAUUCAGCAUCAGUGACACCUCGCGCACGUGCGCAUGUGUGUGUGUGUUUGCACCACCAAUACCUUCUCUGCUUGUCAAAGGGAAGCUUAAAUAAACGGCAACAAUUCUCCCCCGUGUGUAGACUAAGCUUUGAUCUGCGGCAGCCCCACAUUUCUAUUUCCUCUCUUCCCUGCUUUUUGGGUUCAUUUCUUUUAGAGUUUAGGAAAACUGCCUGACGUUGCCAGUGGGGGCUAUCAAAGGUCUUGCUGCUCGGCACCCCAGCUGGUGGGGUACCCCACUGUGAGCUGUGAUAUGGGCACAGUCAUCUUACCUUCGAUGGGCUCACGGACGGCCCACGGUGUGUACUGGGAUCGGAUAUUUGCUCCUUUAUCCCACCUUUAAACCUGGGAAAGAACGUGGUCCUGCUUCCUUCUUCUUGAGUUUUAAACCGUCUGACGGCUCCCCUAGGGUGCCUGGGGUCCCCAGCUUCUCCGUGAACAUCCGGCGUCUGUGGCCCGAGUCGCAAGGAUGUUUGCUGGUGGCUCCUCCUAGACCGUGUGUCAGCUCCAGCAGAGUUUCUCAGUGUCUGUGCUCUGCUCCUCCCAGGGUCCCUGGGGCAGUCGGGCCAGGGUCCGUGAGAAGGAGGGGUCUGGGGCCCGGGGCAGAUGUGAAUAGGACGCCUUCUGGGGAAGGUUUUCCGCUGGUGUGUGUUUCCGCUCUGGACUCAGCACCGUGCAGUUCUCACGUCUGGCUUAGAGUAUGUUUCUAG